Molecule: ribosomal RNA, 253 nt
Filed under: uncultured prokaryote
Description: partial 16S ribosomal RNA
Rfam family: Bacterial small subunit ribosomal RNA
Source: RNAcentral
ACGUAGGCAGCAAGCGUUGUUCGGAGUUACUGGGCGUAAAGGGCCAGUAGGCGGCCAACUAAGUCACACGUGAAAUCCCCAGGCUUAACCUGGGAACUGCGUGUGAUACUGGAUGGCUUGAAUUCGGGAGAGGGAUGCAGAAUUCCAGGUGUAGCGGUGAAAUGCGUAGAUAUCUGGAGGAAUACCGGUGGCGAAGGCGGCAUCCUGGACCGACAUUGACGCUGAACGGCGAAAGCUAGGGGAGCAAACGGGA